RNAcentral lists this ribosomal RNA (78 nucleotides) under Oryzias latipes (Japanese medaka). The record is from RNAcentral. Lineage: Eukaryota; Metazoa; Chordata; Actinopteri; Beloniformes; Adrianichthyidae.
UCAGGGGUGUCCAGCAGGGUCGGGCCUGGUUAGUACUUGGAUAGGAGACUGCCUGGGAAUGGGGCCAUGACCCCUGCA